AGUGAACGCUGGCGGUAGGCCUAACACAUGCAAGUCGAACGGCAGCACAGUAAGAGCUUGCUCUUACGGGUGGCGAGUGGCGGACGGGUGAGGAAUACAUCGGAAUCUACUUUUUCGUGGGGGAUAACGUAGGGAAACUUACGCUAAUACCGCAUACGACCUACGGGUGAAAGCAGGGGAUCUUCGGACCUUGCGCGAUUGAAUGAGCCGAUGUCGGAUUAGCUAGUUGGCGGGGUGAGGGCCCACCAAGGCGACGAUCCGUAGCUGGUCUGAGAGGAUGAUCAGCCACACUGGAACUGAGACACGGUCCAGACUCCUACGGGAGGCAGCAGUGGGGAAUAUUGGACAAUGGGCGCAAGCCUGAUCCAGCCAUACCGCGUGGGUGAAGAAGGCCUUCGGGUUGUAAAGCCCUUUUGUUGGGAAAGAAAAGCAGCAGGUUAAUACCCCGCUGUUCUGACGGUACCCAAAGAAUAAGCACCGGCUAACUUCGUG
Molecule: ribosomal RNA, 492 nt
Filed under: uncultured bacterium
Lineage: Bacteria
Description: partial 16S ribosomal RNA
Rfam family: Bacterial small subunit ribosomal RNA
Source: RNAcentral